This is a long non-coding RNA of Eptesicus fuscus (big brown bat), 1832 nucleotides long. RefSeq lists it as uncharacterized. The transcript has 4 exons. The record is from RefSeq and is a predicted model, not a curated record. NCBI's taxonomy places the organism in Eukaryota, Metazoa, Chordata, Mammalia, Chiroptera, Vespertilionidae.
CCAGUACAGGCACUUGUCCCAGGUCACACAGCCAGGAAGUGGAACAAGCUGCUGCAGUUCCGGCAUUCCCAGCAUUCUGCUCCUGGAAAUAAGUUUGGCAGGUGCCUAAAUGCAACCUCAAGUGUUGGGACUUACGAACCAUCUGGAAGGAGGCACCCUCCGUUACCAGAGAGAACACAGUCUGACUGAAGCAGUCAUCAGUCUAGAGCCUUUCCGGAAGGACACCCAGGAAACUGCCAGCAGUAGUUGCCUUUGGGAAGGAGCCUGAGGGAGGUCGGGCUCCAACUCUUGCUGUGCCCUGCUUCCAGAACACCUGUCUGUACGCCCUCAUCUGCUUGACUUCAUUCCCAGGCAUCCACCAGGAACGCAGCCCACCGGUUGUGGGCUACCUCUGGGCUCUGACAGUCCUUAGUCUCUCCCCCUCCCCACCACCAGGCCGCAGCAUCCCCGUCCUCAUCUCCUUGCCCUUGGCCCUGACACCACACCGGGAGUUCCUGACUGUGGUGAGGGAGGAUCCACAACCUGCUUCUUUGGGAACGUUCUCAGAGCUGGCAAAAGGCGGCUGCUGGGUGGUAAGGUUUGCUGGACGACGGGACACGGCAGCGUGAAAGGCAGUCAGGGAGUGUCACCGAGGGCCCUCCACACCCCAGGCUGGCUUCUGAAGGCCCACUCCAACUUCCCAACUCAGUCUGAAGCACUGACUGGGGCCCACAGCUGAGAGCAGCAGGGACCCUCAGCGAAACCGAGGCAGCCAUGGGGGUGAGAGGCCAGAACGGGGGUCUGAUGAGCCAAAGAGGUGGUCUGAGGCCAGGACCCUGUAGGGCAGCCACGAGAACCAAAGACGGGGGAACUCAGAAGCCUGACUCCAUGCGCUUUCACUUUUGAAAGGGCUAUGGGCCAUUCUCAGCCUCCAUUUCCCCAGAUACACAUGGUAGCAGCUGGACUCCAAAGUUGUCACACAGAUCAGAGUCCUUCCUGCGAGAAUAGCCCAGGUCAGAAAGGGGAAAGGCUGGGGAUGAAGCAGGCUCCUUGGGGCUUGGCCAGGAGAACUAGCUUUUAGCCAAGAGAGCCCCCUGGCAACCUCUGCUGCUACCCAGCCCCAUUCAUCACCACCAGCCUGCUUCUCAUCCUCACCCAGGACAGAGCAGAGGGGCUUGAUUCCCACUCGGCCAAGCCGUGUCCGCCAUGCUCUUGCCCUCGCCCAACACUGCAUCCCUUUUGGGGUUGGGGGCCCCUAGGAAACCCCCGUCUUCACUCCUACUGCUCAUCAGCUGGGUACCUUGGGCUCUGGGUUGCAGGUAUGCAUCCCCUUCUCAGUCACCUGCCUUGGAGCAGGUCUCUGGAUAGGAGACAACUGUUUCAAGGUCAGGGUAGCUCAGGCAAGCUCAGAACCUGCCUUCUGGCUUCCCAGCCACGAAAGUGCUGGCAUCCCUGCCUCACAGCCUCACAGGCAGGAUCACUACCAGCCCGAUGAAGUUCUUGUGAAGGUAAAAAAAGAAAAAGAAAAAAAAGAUGAUCAGGAAAGCAUCUGGUACAUAGGAAGAGCUCAAUAAAUGAUGGCUUUUGUUAUUAUUUCCUCAUGCCCUCUUCCUAGCACACCUUUGGUUGGGGGGGUGGGGGGAGUUCCCUGGAUGAAUUUUUAAUGCAAUACCUGACUAAUUAAUCAGGGGCACUGAUCUCCUUCCUUUUAGACUGUCAAAUAAAAAAUGAUAACAGGCCUGGCUGGCAAGGCUCAGUGGUUGAACCAGGAGGUCACGGUUAGAUCCCUGGUCAGGGCACAGACCCAGGUUGUUUGAUCCCCAGUGUAAUGUCUGCAGGAGGCAGCCGAUCAA